Molecule: microRNA, 24 nt
Filed under: Gossypium hirsutum (cotton)
Lineage: Eukaryota; Viridiplantae; Streptophyta; Magnoliopsida; Malvales; Malvaceae
Description: ghr-miR7484a
Source: miRBase by way of RNAcentral
UUUGUAUAUUAGAUCAAAGAGCAA